RNAcentral lists this microRNA precursor (100 nucleotides) under Triticum aestivum (bread wheat). Its description in RNAcentral is "MIR9666 microRNA precursor family". It matches the Rfam family "MIR9666 microRNA precursor family". The record is from Rfam by way of RNAcentral. Lineage: Eukaryota; Viridiplantae; Streptophyta; Magnoliopsida; Poales; Poaceae.
UCAUUCGGAUUCGCCAUCAUACGUCCAACCGUGCAUUUGAUAUGCAUAUAUAUAUGCAUGACGAGCCACGGUUGGGCUGUAUGAUGGCGAUGUCGAUUGA